GAUGAACGCUGGCGGCGUGCCUAACACAUGCAAGUCGAACGAAGCUCUUACGACAGAACUCUUCGGAGGAAAGAUGUAUGAGACUUAGUGGCGACGGGUGAGUAACGCGUGGGUAACCUGCCCUGUACAGGGGGACAACAGUUAGAAAUGACUGCUAAUACCGCAUAAGCCUACAAAACCGCAUGGUUCUGUAGGAAAAACUCCGGUGGUACAGGAUGGGCCCGCGUCUGAUUAGCUAGUUGGUGAUGUAACGGACCACCAAGGCGACGAUCAGUAGCCGGCUUGAGAGGGUGAACGGCCACAUUGGGACUGAGACACGGCCCAAAACUCCUACGGGAGGCAGCAGUGGGGAAUAUUGCACAAUGGGGGAAACCCUGAUGCAGCGACGCCGCGUGAGUGAAGAAGUAUUUCGGUAUGUAAAGCUCUAUCAGCAGGGAAGAAAAUGAACGGUACUUAAUGAAUAAGCU
RNAcentral lists this ribosomal RNA (467 nucleotides) under uncultured bacterium. Its description in RNAcentral is "bacterial SSU rRNA". It matches the Rfam family "Bacterial small subunit ribosomal RNA", at positions 28 to 492 of the family's 1533-position model. The record is from RNAcentral.